This 274-nucleotide ribosomal RNA is filed under the name uncultured bacterium. RNAcentral's name for it is "partial 16S ribosomal RNA". It matches the Rfam family "Bacterial small subunit ribosomal RNA", at positions 523 to 796 of the family's 1533-position model. The record is from RNAcentral.
CUACGGAGGCUCCAAGCGUUAUCCGGAAUCAUUGGGUUUAAAGGGUCCGCAGGCGGUCAAUUAAGUCAGAGGUGAAAGCCCAUCGCUCAACGAUGGAACUGCCUUUGAUACUGGUUGACUUGAGUUAUACGGAAGUAGAUAGAAUAAGUAGUGUAGCGGUGAAAUGCAUAGAUAUUACUUAGAAUACCGAUUGCGAAGGCAGUCUACUACGUAUAUACUGACGCUGAGGGACGAAAGCGUGGGGAGCAAACAGGAUUAGAAACCCCGGUAGUCC